RNAcentral lists this small RNA (84 nucleotides) under Escherichia coli. Its description in RNAcentral is "partial RtT sRNA". It matches the Rfam family "RtT RNA", at positions 1 to 79 of the family's 130-position model. From Rfam's summary of the family: This family represents a bacterial cis-regulatory element known as RtT RNA. RNAcentral also lists the same sequence under 1 other name. The record is from RNAcentral. Lineage: Bacteria; Pseudomonadati; Pseudomonadota; Gammaproteobacteria; Enterobacterales; Enterobacteriaceae.
UUGCAUUUGAAGCCCAUGAGGAUGAGAACCUCCGGGGGCGGGGAGGUUCGACUCGAGCGAAGCGAGAGAACGUUGCGCCAGCAA